Molecule: long non-coding RNA, 453 nt
Organism: Suricata suricatta (meerkat)
Lineage: Eukaryota; Metazoa; Chordata; Mammalia; Carnivora; Herpestidae
Exons: 3
Source: RefSeq, a predicted model, not a curated record
CCCUCACAGGACGAGAAGUGGCAGUGACGAUUUAUUGGAUUAACGGUCAGCAGUGGUCCUGACGGGUCUUCCCACCUUCAGGUUCUCACUUUCCAUUCAUCACUCACAGCACCGUCCACAUAAACUUCAAAGAUGCACUUAGGACUAGUCCACCACCUGCUUCACACCCGUCUCUGCCUUGCUGUCACCAUCAGAUUCCUUCAAGGUCUGUCCUGAUCCACCGGAGGAAGAGACUGCCUUAAAGAGCUGCUGACCCUUUGGUCUGGCUCUGAAAUGAAUACGGUGGGGACAGUCCAGAGCCCAACACGACUGACUGGCACCCCGCAGCACGGAUGACCAACUGAGCCCAGCCCCAACCAGCCUGCCAACAUGAGAACAAAUAUUCGUGGUCAAAAGCCAGUGGUUUAUUCAACAGCAUUCUGUUGGCAAUAGAUGAAGAAUAUUUAUUUUUUA